Molecule: long non-coding RNA, 872 nt
Organism: Alosa alosa (allis shad)
Lineage: Eukaryota; Metazoa; Chordata; Actinopteri; Clupeiformes; Clupeidae
Exons: 3
Source: RefSeq, a predicted model, not a curated record
CUAGCUAGCAUAGUAGGUGUCUAGUAUUACAUAUUACUACAUAUGCAGUUUCAUCACAGAGACUUUUAGGAGUGUCUGUGAUUGCAGAAUGAAAUGAAUUUCAGAUGUUCUCCACAGCAUCUCCACAGUCAGGGUAGCAUACAUGGCGGGAGGUUAAAGUCAUCAGUCAUCAUGGGAUAUAGGGAGGUUCAGGGUUGGGUGGUAAGGGAUUGGACUUUCAGGGUUCAAAAGCUAUGGCACAGGAACAGGCUGUGUGCUAGACUCCUGCUGGGUGCUUGGGACCAACACAGAGGCCCAUUCAUCUCUCCUGUCAAAGAGUAGUUUUAUGUGGUGAGGCCACGGAUGACCAUGGAUGACAGUGCUCAAACAUAUGAACACAUACAUGUCAGAUAAUUUGAUGAUAAUUUGCCAACUCGAUAUUUUGUUGUUUGAUUCAUGUCAUUUUAUUAUGUUUGCAGGUGUGCAGGUGUUUUUAAUGCAUGAUAAAUAUGUUGGUUGGUGUAGCACCAUCAUUCCAAAGGGUCAGACAGAGGCCCUAAAAGCUGGACUGAACAGAGGAAAUGGAUGGGUGGUGUCAAGUUGCUCUUUCAGGAGGCCGACCUGGGGACCGGACAGCCCUGGACAGGCUCCUUUUUUCUGUGGGUGCUGGGCCGCAGAGCUGCUCAUUAAAAGGAGGAUACGUAAACAGCUGUGACCGGGGCUGGCUGUUGUGUCUGCUCAGCGCUGCUGAAGUGUGAAGAAUGGAGAGGGAGCGGCGGCCGGGUCCGCGGUGCUUGUCCAUCUGCUGGCCGUGCUGUGGCCCUCAGACCUGCCGCGAAUCCAGUAAUGAUCCCCUGGGGCAGCAGGUAUCAGUGACACAGAGCAGGGAAGUG